CGUUGUUAUAACAAAACAUUUUAUUAUUAUAUUUAAUUAUUAUAUUAUAAAAAUAUUAAAUUAAAAAAUUAGUAUAAAUAUUAUAAAAUUUUUAUAUUUAAUAAAAUUAAAUAAUAAAAAAUAAAAAAAAUUUAUUCAUUAAAUUAUUAGACUGUUUAACAAAAUCUUAUUUAUAAUUUUUAUAAUCUAUUCUGCUCAAUGAAAUUAUUUAAAUAGCUGUUAAUAACACUAAGGUAGCGAAAUCAUUAGCUACUUAAUUGGUAACUUGUAUGAAGGGACUAACUAAAAAUUUAUUUUAUAAAAAAUAUAAAUUAUAAAAUUGUUGAAAAUAACAAUAUUUAUUCCAAGAACAAAAAGACCCUAGAAUAC
RNAcentral lists this ribosomal RNA (369 nucleotides) under Sarcoptes scabiei. RNAcentral describes it as "partial 16S ribosomal RNA". Lineage: Eukaryota; Metazoa; Arthropoda; Arachnida; Sarcoptiformes; Sarcoptidae. The record is from RNAcentral.